Molecule: ribosomal RNA, 312 nt
Filed under: uncultured bacterium
Lineage: Bacteria
Description: bacterial SSU rRNA
Rfam family: Bacterial small subunit ribosomal RNA
Source: RNAcentral
GACGAACGCUGGCGGCGUGCUUAACACAUGCAAGUCGAGCGACUGCAUUCUUUUCGGAGGGUGUAUGGAGCGGCGAACGGGUGAGUAACACGUGAGUAAUCUGCCUUUGGCUUGGGAAUAACUUCGGGAAAUCGGGGCUAAUGCCUGAUGUUUACUGUCUGCUGCAUGGUGGGUGGUGGAAAGAUUUUUUGGCCAGGAGUGAGCUCGCGGUCUAUCAGCUUGUGGUUGGGGGUAAGUGGCUUACCUAAGGCGUUUGUACGGGUAGCCGGCCUGAGAGGGUGGUUCGGCCACACUGGGACUGAGACACGGCCC